UUAGUUAUUGGACUUUUUUCAUUGAGUAAUCAACACAAAGAUAAGUUUUUUUUUUCCUCUUCUUAUUUAUUUCUAAUUUAUAAGUUUACUUUUUUCUUUAUCGUGCUUUGUAACUCAUACAAAUAUUUUCAUGGUAUUUCAUUUUAAUUGCAAUUGAUUAAACUUAAUUGUAUAUUAUUAUUAUAUUUUCUAAAAAUAUACUUAUCCAUUUUUCAUAUUUUUUUUUGUAAAUUUAUUAAAAUAGAUUCAUAACUGUUAUCACUAGAUAUUUGGAUGCUAUACAAGAAGAUGCAGAUUUGUAAAGAAACAGAAUGUGUGAAUUUAAUGACGGUGCUACUUCAGAGUUAUCUAUUUGGUAUUUCUUUGCAAUUUAUUGUAUAAGACUCUUUACCAGUUGUGAACUUGUUGUCUAAUUUUCUAAUAGUAUCAUUGAUUUAUAUUUAUCAUUAUAGAUUAAUAGUGCAUACUCUCUUUCAUGACGAAGAACUUGUUUGACUAUUAGUUUUAUAGGAAGUAUGAUAUUAAAAUUACUUUCCUAGCUAACCCUUCACAAAAGCAAUAAUUAAUUACUGUACCUAACUUGUUAAUAUUAGUCGAUCGAUGCAUAUGCGUGGACGGUGCAUAUCCAUCGAUCCAUCGACCCCAUCGAUCACCUAUAUAUACUGUGAACAGAAUACGUAUCUUAUUACAGUCACUUACAUCUCACUUCUCACUGAUUAUUCAUAAGAAGAGAGUUUUUGUUAUGAAAAACAUUAAGCUUAUUUUCGUUGUGGCCUUGUUAUGUAUCAUCGGAUCAACCAAGGUGGCCAAGGCUGGUCCAAAUAAUCCUCAUCAUGAUCCUGAUGAGAAGUCCUCUGAUCAUCAUCAAAAACCAUUGUUAGAUCAAAAAGGUCUCUUGAGACCUAUUCUUGGUCCAAUAUUACCCAAACUACCUAAGCCAUCACUGCCACCAAUAUCCUUACCCAAACUACCUAACCCAACAGUACUGCCACCAAUAUCCUUACCCUCAACCAAAUUACCACCAAUAUCCUUACCCACCAUAUCACCAUUAUCCUCAAUAAUACCCAAAACACCCCCUCGAUCUUCUUUGUCUCCAAUCUCAUUACCCUCCAUAUUACAUCGAUCACCACCACCACCAGCAUCAUCAUCCUCAUACACCUCCAAAACUCCAUCUCUGUCUAGGCCCCUGAUGAAAUCUGAACCUUAAAAUGGAAUCAUAUAAUGACAACGGUAAUAAUAAUAUUCUAUAUGUGACCGACAUAAAUAAUUGCUGCUGUUUGUGUAUACGUGCCGUCCGGCCAUGCAUGGAGUGCAGGAAAGCCCUAAUGAGAAUACUGGAAUGAUCUGCUCAUCAAAGUGAUUAUUAAAGUAAUACUCAUAUAUAAAAUACAUCUAUUGAAAUACAAUGCUAUUUGUAACUUUCUUAUUAAAUGAAAUUAAUCGAGAAUAUAUAUAAAGUUAUUUUAUAA
Humulus lupulus (European hop) is the source of this 1469-nucleotide long non-coding RNA. RefSeq lists it as uncharacterized. The transcript has 2 exons. The record is from RefSeq and is a predicted model, not a curated record. Lineage: Eukaryota; Viridiplantae; Streptophyta; Magnoliopsida; Rosales; Cannabaceae.